Acanthopagrus latus (yellowfin seabream) is the source of this 6668-nucleotide long non-coding RNA. RefSeq lists it as uncharacterized. Lineage: Eukaryota; Metazoa; Chordata; Actinopteri; Spariformes; Sparidae. The record is from RefSeq and is a predicted model, not a curated record. The transcript is spliced from 3 exons.
GGCACCAAAGAAAGGGUGUUCUUGUUUUAUUCUUUUAUUUAUUUAUUUUUUUCUCUGCUCCCUCGUUGACCCCGGUUCGGCAGAGGCUGGCCAGAAAAAGGCAGCACACCCCUCCCUGGCAACGACAGGAGAGAGGCUCAUGUGGCUGCUGCUCCAUCCUGGAUUCAUCUCAACAACAACCGGAAAAAAAAGAAAAAAAAAACAGAGGACGAGAGUUUGGAGCGAUGACGGAACUGUUCGCAGGCUCCAGUCCACCGACUGUCACCGUCCGAGCUCCGGACUGGACGCGACAGCGGUUCUCCGCUAUUUCACCGGUCAGCUUGUCCAAAGAUCAGGAUGGAGGUCCAGCCGCUGUCCCUGGGGACUUCCUGGCAGGGCUGGGAGCUUGUAUCGGAGCUGUCCAAUCAGUGUAUUUACACGGGUUGUUAGCGACAGUUAAUGAGGGCUCCUCCCCGGGCCGGUAGAGAAAGGCGCCUCAACAUUAAGAUUUACCUUGUGUCAACUCGUUACUUCUAAUGAACCUCCAUGCAAAAGCCUCCUCGUACUCAAUGGAGCCGUGCGCCCGGAUCUUGUGUGUGAGACCCUGGAAGAGUGGAGCUGCGAGCAGCCGGCCUCCCUCUCUCCCCCCUCUUUUUUUUUUCUUCCGCUCACUCAGGGAGCGUUGCUUUUUCUCUGCAGGUCUGGGCUCCAUGAUGCAUGCACGCCUGUGUGUGUGUGUGUGUGUGUGUGUGUGUGUGUGUGUGUGUGUGUGUGUGUGUGUGUGUGUGUGUGUGUGUGUGUGUGUGUGUGUGUGUGUGUGUGUGUGUGUGUGAAGAAUGAAAGUGGGUGGUGCAUAUAGCCUAUCUUUAUAGGAAUGUGAUGAUGGCAGCCCAGGAGAUCUGAUUAAGACUGGCACAAUGACACAUUUAUAAUGAACGGACUAUGGAGUGAAAUUGUGUUGUCCCAGCUUUGGUGUCUGAUCAUCACCAACGGUGUGAUCAGAAGAGUGAGUUUUGUGUUUGCGUGCCCGUAUCACAGAGCUGACACGUCUUCCAUUGUUUGCUGAAUGAGGCUUGACGUGUCAGCUUAUUGCCUCUGCAGAAGUAAGUUCAUUUAUAAUCACCCUCCAUCCCCCCACCCACCCACCCACCCACCGGAGCUGCACGGCCCCUCCGUCCGUCCGCCCCCUCGGCUGGCCCCCAGUGUGGCUUGUUGAGCCGCAUCAGCAACACAUCACUGCCCCUCAAUUCAGGUACAAACUGGAGGAGUUUGGCGGAUCCCUGAAGUGGACUCCCCUCUUACUCCUCUAACCCACAGAGACACCACUUAAAAAUCAAUUAGGCUCGUCUGCUCGCUCCCUCCCCGCUCGUCGCCAUUUCCGAAACAGGUGGCUCCCACCAGCACUUUGCGAGGGGCCUGAAAGUAAAAUCGGACGUGGGUUCAUUAUUUGAUGGCCCCGUUGAAUUCAUUUUAACGUUAUCCCUGCCUUUUUACAUGUUUUACUAGCCUUUUAUUUUGACAGGUUGCGAUUUUCGUUUCAUCCUAAUUCUACCUUUAUGGGAUUUACCUUUGCCAGUAUAAAUCUACCUAUGCACGCACGACCCUUGGCGCUUUCUCAUCCCAGUGACAGGGUUUCAUGUCCUUGAUAUGUGGAAACUCUCUCUCAGCCCCUCAUCCAGUCUCUCUCUCUCUCUCUCUCUCUCUCUCUGUGCGUCUCCUCAUAUCGUCUCUUUAACCUGGUCCCCGCGCGUUAAAGAGGCGCAGCGGCGUGACACGGAGCAGCAGCAGCAGCAGCGGCAGCGCCGGGGGAGGCCGUGUGCUCACUCUUCCAGGUAGAUGGCUCAUUUUGGAGACGGAGGCGGUAAACACGACGAGCGCGUAUCAGAUGCAUCGCCCCGAGCUUUACAUAUGAUGCUCACCUUCCCUCCAUUCCCCCAGUGACUUCCUCCACAUCCUCAGCUCCGGUUUAUUUCCAGCCCCUUGAAGAAUCGUUGUGUAACUUACCGUUCAUCUGCAUGUGUGGGCCUAAAAAGAAAAAAAAAAAGUGCACUCUGGGCCUCUAGAGAGCUGACAUGAUGGCCGCAGUUUACGUCAGCCCCAAAAUGAUGACAGAACUUCUGCAGGAAGAUGUGACUGUUUUGGAAUCGACUGUCAAGGCUGAUUAAGCGCCCCGGCUCUUUAGAUGCAGAUAGGAGCUGUGGAGAUGCCCCGUAAGCCCGGUGUCACAGGGGCUGACAAGCCGUAAUUACCCCGGCUGACAUAUCGCUCUCCGAGCCCACUAAUGUGGGAGCCGCGGAGCCCACAGACCGCAUGCAUACAAGCCGGGGCCGCGCAACUCUUUGGCCACGCAGCCGCUUUUAGCGCCGGGUUCAGACUCUGCUGGGCUGGCCACGUGCUCCACAGCUGACCCUUUUCAUUUUAACAUUUCAGCAGUGAAAUAGCCGCUUAUUUAAAGCGAGUGAUAGGGUGGAGGAGAUCAUGAGGCUGUGCGUGGAUGAAAACAGCCCCGCUGACACACAGACACAAGACAAACUGUGCAGCUGUGGUGGGGAGAGCGAUAAACAUCAUUUAACAUGGUCAUUUUUAGCAAAUUAAACUUUAGUUUGACUGUUAACGACGAAUUAAAUGCUUUAUAAAUCAUGAAUAAAGUUGCACCUGAUGCUUCUGAACAUGUAAUACGUGAUUGAUAAAGCAUUGAACUGUCAAACACUCACAUAACUAUUAACAAAAGUUUAAUUAACUAGAAAAUGUCCUAUUUAUUAACAAUGGCUUCUAUAAAGCGUUCUGUCUAAAGUAACUAAGUACAUUUACUCUACAUUCAAAUUGAGAUAUCUACUUGUAUCUGACUUCAUUUCAGAUUACCUGUAUCUGAGAGCUACAGUUAAAAACUUGUAGAUGAAUAUUUUACAUACAAAAUGUUUUCAUCAUAAGAUGUUAUAACAGUACAGAUAGUGUAAAGUUGUACUUUUUACUUGAUUUGAUCAACCAAAAAUAUUGAAAAUGCUCUUUUUAUGCAUCAAAAUGUAUAUUUGCACAACAAUAAUUUUGCUGAUUGUACUCUCUGGCUUGAUUUAAAUCGGCCUUACAACUUUGGAUGCAAUACUUUUAGUCGUAACUGAGUAUUUUUCCAACAUAGCAAAGCUGCUUUUAAUAAAGUAAAUUGUGUAAAAAGCUUCUUCCAGCCUAGUAAAUAUAUCUAAAAUAAAUAUUAUGAUAUUAUGAAGGAUUAAACGGUUCCAUCCUUGUAUAAACUCACUAUGCCAGGAGAAAGUAACUAAGUACAUUUACUUGAGUAUUUCAUGUCACUUUAUAUUUCCAUCCUACAACAUUUCUGAGAGAAAUAUAGUAGUGUUGACCUCACUACAUUCAUAUGACAGCCGUUGGCACAUUAUCAGUUAUGUGUGCUUUUACUUUUACAUUCUGCUGUUACUACUUCUGUAAUAAGUACAUAUUUGAAUUCAAGACUAACUUCUCAUAUUUCUUGUAAUGUGGCACGGCUGCUCUUGCUCAGGUAAACCGUCUGCACGCUUCCUCCGGCAGACACACCUGUGUGUUUAAAAAUAAAGAUGAAAGAUAUCAGAAAGUAUUAAAUGCUCUCAAGCACGCUUGUGUUAGGUGUUAAGGUACAGUUUACUUUAUACUCCAUUACCACUACCACUACACUUUAGAGGGGAAUGAAACACUUUUACUCGGUUCAUUUGACAGAUUCAGUUCAGUUAAAAUAGAAUACAUCUUUCCAGAUUGAACAGCUUGAAGGGGCACUGUUUAGUUUUGGAGACAAAAUUCAAACUCAGAAUUCACAGUAUUAAUGAGGUCAUAACACAAAUUCAGAAAUAUUUAUCUUUUCCAUAAGUGAAUAAACAAGCUGUUCUUAGAGGAAAAUAAAGUUCCCAGAACACAGUUUAAAGCCAGGAAGGUGGCAGGGUCCGCCACAUGUCAGUAUGACAUUGUGUUCCAGUCAUGACAGACAUCCAGUCAUGAGUUUCAUUACUGAGUUUAUUCGGUGAAGAUCUUUCUCUUCUGAUUCUUCCCCAGAACUACAAAGUGCACCUCUAAAAAAACAGUUAAACACUUUUAAAUGAGUUUUCCUGCAGAUUAUUUUUGACAGUCUACAGUAACUACAUUCAACAUUUUACGUGCACUCGUCAAACUGUCCCAGCUGGACUUUUCCAAGCUACAUGAUUCGGUCACACACACACACACACACACACACACACACACACACACACACACACACACACACACACACACACACACACACACAGCUGCUGCAGUCAGAGCGUGUUGACACCUGCAGUGUCUGUUUGCCACAAGCAUUUAACCCACAACACGAGCAGCCUCUAUCUCUGUCCGCCGGUAAACACUUCCAUUAAAGCUAUAUUUUCUGAUCGACUGCUGUGUGUGAUCUAUAGAUCCAUAUCGAGUCAUCGUGCCACCCCCUCUCUUUUAGUGUGUGUGUGCGUGUGUGUGUGUGAAGGUUACAGUCACCGCGUCACACACGAUCCUGUCAUUGUCUCACAUUUUGUUUGUUGCGGUGUUUUGGCGUGGCACGAAAUGAACGAAACCGACGUCACAGCCUCUCUCUCUCUCUCCCUCUUUCUCUCUCUCUCCCUCCUUGACUGCAGCUUUUGACAUUACUCCACUCGAUCGCCCGUUUACCCCCAAGUCAAGUUUGAGACGGGCAAGAAGUGUAAAAGAGGUGGGCCAUGUCAUAUCCGCUCAGUGCGCAUGGGAUCGCCGGCCCUGCUCGGCUCUGAUCAUUGUUCGGGAGAACAAUUCGUGCACGGAGCGAGCAGGAAAGGCAGUGUGUCAGAGAGAGAGAGAGAGAGAGAGAGAGAGGGAGAGAGAGAGAGAGAGGGAGAGAGAGAGAGAGAGAGAGAGAGAGAGAGAGAGGGAGAGAGAGAGAGAGAGAGAGAAUAGCUGGGCACAAAGGCUGGCUGGACAAUCUGCACAGCUCCUCACAGCAGCAGUUCAUAGUUACUGUGAGGCUUUUUACUUAUAUUCUCACCAUCACUGUCUCACGGCUUCUCUCAUUUUUAGUCUGCGGUAAAAUUUAGUUUGUGGAGAUUUUAUCCGACUAAUUAAGGGUGAGCCACCUGGACACCAGCUCGAGGAUAUUACUUUUAAUCGGAUGUGGCCACUUUAUAAAACUACAAAAAACAAACAAACAAACAAACAAACAAACCUGUUCUCCUGACAGUUCCAGGUGUCUGUAAAAAGUUAAUGUAAAAUGACCGCAAGAAACCUUGAACCUGAGGAAAAAAAGUCCCAGAACACCUUUCUUCAACCUGGUGUUAUUUUCAACAUUAGUUUAGUUUUCUGGAAAGAAAUUCAAAACUCUGAAAAGUAGUAUUUAUGUGAGUAUUGAUGAGAUAAUAAUACAAACUCCGUUUAUUAUAUUAAUUAUUUCCAUAACUGCAUGAACAAGCUAUUUUGAGAGUAAAUAAGAGUAGAUUUUUAAAAAUAUAUAUAUAUAUAUUUCAAUAAAGUAUAAACAAAGUAAAACGAAACUGUGUGGUCGUUUCAGAUCAGUUUUUUCUCUUCGUUUAUUCAGUCGUGACAACGAAGGAGAGUUUGUUCGUUUAGUUUGUUAAAGCAUGAAAGUCAAUCACUGAAGAUUUGAGAGUUUCGCCCUCAAAAAAACACACAGUGCACCUUUAAGAGACUUUUUAAUACAAAUCUGAACCUUUGGUAUGUUUAUUUUAUUAUUAUUAUUAUUUUUUUAAUUGUUUGAAUAUACAGGUGUCAUUCACACUUGAAACAUCUCCCCAUUACUUUUUAAAGCAUAAAUUGUUGUUUUGUUUGUUUUUUAAAAAAGAAUAAUAAUAAAAAUAAUAAUAAGUUCUUUAAAAAUAGGUUACAACUUCGCUCUCCAUCAGCAGCUGCAGUUGAAAAUGGCUGCUGCUGAUUCUGGUUCAAAAUAUUACAAGAGUUGGAUCGCAGAAUUUUACACGUGUCUCUGUGUAGCCAAUGAUGCUGAGCGACAUGUGCUGGAAAAAGUGAUAACUCACUAGGUAACAGAGGUGAUCAGCUAAUAUCCGCAUGAGAAUUAUUACGUAUCCAUCUUCUCUGUCCACAUACGAUCUCCACAUUAAAUUGCCUCAAUUUUCAGAUUCAUAUCUGUAUGCUUUUAUUCCUUUGGGCGACCCGAAAACCUGUCAGGGUUGGUUUGCUGCUCGGCUUUUUCAGGCCUAACAUCCACCUGAACUGAAUCGCUAAUUCUCUCUUAUUAUACCGUCUGAGUCUAUAGGCGUAAUAUAUGAUAUAAAUAUAUCCUCUGAAUAAAGUGCUAACAUUGUUUAACAUCUAUCAAAGGUGGCGUGUUGGGUCGUUGCUUUCAUAAAACCGUCCAAAAAAAUGAAAAAAAUAAAAUAUAAUAUUAGUAUUUGGCUGAUUUUUUGGUAUAGUAGCUACGUAGCGUGGUUGCUAGGCAACCGAUUGGCUCAGGUGAGCUCAUUAAUGGCUGUUUUGCAUCAUCUAAGGUGCGUUUUUUUUAGACGCGGCAUACGUCACAGCGGCUUCGCCUCGAGAGCCAAUCAGAGGCGGGCUACGCCGUCCCGUGGCAGAUAUUAUCUUACAGGAUAAUAACGGAGGGAUGCGGCGGCGGCCGAGGAGCCGGUUACUCGCGGGUGAGCAGCGCCCAUCAAAUCUGAUUUAUGUCACGCGUCUCCACGGAUCAAUAGCGGACG